RNAcentral lists this transfer RNA (87 nucleotides) under Candidatus Yanofskybacteria bacterium RIFOXYC2_FULL_44_13. RNAcentral describes it as "tRNA-Leu". It matches the Rfam family "tRNA". From Rfam's summary of the family: Transfer RNA (tRNA) molecules are approximately 80 nucleotides in length. Their secondary structure includes four short double-helical elements and three loops (D, anti-codon, and T loops). Further hydrogen bonds mediate the characteristic L-shaped molecular structure. tRNAs have two regions of fundamental functional importance: the anti-codon, which is responsible for specific mRNA codon recognition, and the 3' end, to which the tRNAs corresponding amino acid is attached (by aminoacyl-tRNA synthetases). tRNAs cope with the degeneracy of the genetic code in two manners: having more than one tRNA (with a specific anti-codon) for a particular amino acid; and 'wobble' base-pairing, i.e. permitting non-standard base-pairing at the 3rd anti-codon position. Lineage: Bacteria; Candidatus Yanofskyibacteriota. RNAcentral also lists the same sequence under 1 other name. The record is from RNAcentral.
GCCCUCGUGGCGGAAUUGGUAUACGCGCGGCGCUUAGGACGCCGUUCCCGUAAGGGAUUAGAGGUUCAAAUCCUCUCGAGGGCACAA